UCGUGCUCUUUACUCUCUCUCAAAAAUAAAUAAACAUUUAAAAAAGUUUUUAAAUAUAAAAAACACUUGUACCUUGUAGACUUUACAAAAGCAGGUGUGGGCAGGAUUUGGCUAGCAGGCUAGAAUUUGCAGACCCCGGCUCUAGAUCUAACACAUUUGUGUGGUUCUCUCCCAUGAACAGCAAGGAGCUGCAACCAUAUGGGCUGCAAAGAGGAAUUUAACCUGAAGUAGGGCUGUGAGUUUGCAGCUCUUGCCAGGAGGAUUUCAGAAAGCUGGAGGAUGAUUCUAACAGGGGUUGAGAGACAUGGACCCAUUUCCCUGGGAAAGAGCUGUGCUCUGUUAGAAUGAGACUAAUCUGUGGGACUACCCCAGCUGGCCAUUGAUCUGACUGGGACAUCCCUGUCCACCUCCACGCCUCCUGUAGGUCAGAACCUGACGGAGCAUGACGUGGAACACAAGAGGCAUGGGGAGGCAUCUUGAUAUAGACAGGGUACCCACUGGUCACCCAAGGUCUGGAAGCAGAUUGUCAGAAGGUCACUACUAGCCUAACACUACGUCACAACACCUGCGUCAUUCACCUUAUUUCAUCUCUUCAUGGAAGCGUUUUAUCAUCUCAUGUCAUCACAAGAGGAGGAAGAAGGGUGAGUACAGUGCUCCUUUCGCAGUACAAAAAUGGACUUUCAUGCAAUUCAUUUCAGUCAGAAGUUCCAGGGAUGGAUUUGGAAGACAAAAAUCAUAAGAUAUUUUGAGAGAGGUCACAUUCAUGUAACUUUUAUUUCAGUCUAUUGUUAUAAUUCUAUUUUGUUAUUAGUUGUUGUGACUCUUACUAUGUGACUCUUACUAUGCCUAAUUUAUAAAUUAAAUUUUAUCAUAGGUAUGUAUGUACAAGAAAAAAAAUAUAGUAUCUAUAGGGAUUGGUACUAUAUGUGCUUCUAGUCAUUCCCUGGGGGGCCUUGGAACAUGUCCCCCAUGGAUAAGAGGGGGGACCACUAUAGGUGCCAUUGGACGCUUAGCUCCCACUCCACUUGGAGAUGUCAAGGCCUUGUUUUCUGUCCCAGGGUCUGUGUGUAACUGGGAUGGGAGACCCUUUUACUUGAGAGCUAUUAUCUUUGCUGCAUGAUUAGACUCUCCUGACCUUAGUUCUCACUUGUAAAAUGAGGUAAUAAUAGUAUCCAUCUCAAGGAAUUGUGUGAUUAACUGAGUUAAUACCUUUAAAAAAGAAAGAGCACUUAGAGCACAGAGUGAACAAGCCAUGCAUGUUAACUAUUAUGAUGACGGUAGUAGUAAUGACCAUCCCUAUUGGACAUCACAGAUGGAGGCAGCCUAGGGUGGUUACAUGAUGUCGCUGUCUCCUGGCAAGGAUCCAAUGAAUCCCUGCUUUACACCUCCGUGGCUUUGCUGAGGACAUGGUGAAGAGUGUGAGGACUGUUGUUCUAUCUACUUCUGGAAGGGGCUGAUGGAGAAAUAACCAGGCCUGUGAGUUUAUACAACAGUGGGUCAAAGUGUAAAACUUGACCUUGAGAAUUUCAUUAAUCUCUUCAAUUAUAUUGAAGGCAGCAGAGAAGUCACUUCUCACACGGGUCCCCAAGAAUUAAAAGAGUGAAUGCUGUCCUCUAACUCUUGGCCUUGCCACUUAUCAGCUGUGUCAACUUGGGCCAGUUACUUAAACUCUCUGAACUGCAGUUUCUUCAUUUGUAAAAUGGGAAGACUAUAGCAUUGUUGGAAUUACUGAAUCAGAUGAUAUCUGUAGAGUUAAUAGCAAAUUAAGUUCUUGGAUCCAGGUGACGGCUCAAUAGAAGCCUGUUAUCAUGCCUAUUAUUAUUUUUAUUAUAAAUGCUUAUAAUUGCAAGCUACCUUUACAGUUUUCAAUUUACAACGCAGGGAACAGGUUACUUUCACAGCAGGGCUUGUCCUGUGACGAUCUUCUCCAUCACCUUAAAAGAUGUUCACAUUCAUAGGAAUUCCCUCACCUGGGCUGGGCCUGACCCUCAGAACUCCGUGGUUGUCUAUGUAAAGAUGGGCAUUAUCCAUGGGAAGAUUUCCAUGCAAAAGCGUCCUGGUUGCACAAGGGUUGGGUCCAAGUCAUCCUGCCUCUGCGAGUGUCUACAGCCCCAGGGAAUGGGUCAUGGCUCCUACUGGAUGAUUAGGACUUUUGAGGACUUUUGAGGUGUCCAGACUCAAACCCUCCUCACCAUUGACUCUUUCCACUGGGCAAAUUCCUAGGAGUAGAC
This is a long non-coding RNA of Herpailurus yagouaroundi (jaguarundi), 2231 nucleotides long. RefSeq lists it as uncharacterized. The record is from RefSeq and is a predicted model, not a curated record. The transcript has 5 exons. NCBI's taxonomy places the organism in Eukaryota, Metazoa, Chordata, Mammalia, Carnivora, Felidae.